RNAcentral lists this ribosomal RNA (497 nucleotides) under uncultured bacterium. RNAcentral's name for it is "partial 16S ribosomal RNA". It matches the Rfam family "Bacterial small subunit ribosomal RNA", at positions 28 to 507 of the family's 1533-position model. The record is from RNAcentral.
GAUGAACGCUGGCGGCGUGCCUAAUACAUGCCAGUCGAGCGAACAGACGAGGAGCUUGCUCCUCUGACGUUAGCGGCGGACGGGUGAGUAACACGUGGAUAACCUACCUAUAAGACUGGGAUAACUUCGGGAAACCGGAGCUAAUACCGGAUAACAUGUUGAACCGCAUGGUUCAACAGUGAAAGACGGUCUUGCUGUCACUUAUAGAUGGAUCCGCGCCGCAUUAGCUAGUUGGUAAGGUAACGGCUUACCAAGGCAACGAUGCGUAGCCGACCUGAGAGGGUGAUAGGCCACACUGGAACUGAGACACGGUCCAGACUCCUACGGGAGGCAGCAGUAGGGAAUCUUCCGCAAUGGGCGAAAGCCUGACGGAGCAACGCCGCGUGAGUGAAGAAGGUCUUCGGAUCGUAAAACUCUGUUAUUAGGGAAGAACAAAUGUGUAAGUAACUAUGCACGUCUUGACGGUACCUAAUCAGAAAGCCACGGCUAACUACGUG